This 540-nucleotide ribosomal RNA is filed under the name Obrimus bicolanus. RNAcentral describes it as "partial large subunit ribosomal RNA". The record is from RNAcentral. Lineage: Eukaryota; Metazoa; Arthropoda; Insecta; Phasmatodea; Heteropterygidae.
GAGAGUUCAAGAGUACGUGAAACCGUUCAGGGGUAAACGGGAGAAAUCCUGAAUUCGAAAGGGGCCGGAUUCAACUCGACCCCGAUUGUCCUGGAUGCAUGGCCCCACCAGAUGGCGCCGGUCGCCCGCGGCGAUUCAUUUCGUUUGCGGUGUCGUUCCCGACGAUCACUCGGUGAGGUUGCAUUUCUCUGCCUUCGGACGAGUGCACUUCCACCCUAGUAGAAACGUCGCGACCCGUUGGGUGCCGGCCAAAGGCUCGGGAUGGCAGACCGUUUGUCCUGUGGGGGCUCCCACAUGCAGGCGGACUCCUGGUGACCCGACCGGCUGCCCGACGGUAUGACCAGAGGAGUCGAUCCGCUGUAAGUGAAACACUGUGGUUGUGUAGCGUCCGGCCCGGCGCCGACGCGUGCGGGGAUUGAGGUGCAAACCGGGGGUGCCCGUGCGAAGCACGGCCCCGGCCCCGCUGCGUCGUCGGAUUUGCCGGUGUCCUCGGACUGGAUCGAUACUCCCGUCUGCGACGCCCACCUUCGGAUGGUCUCC